RNAcentral lists this ribosomal RNA (327 nucleotides) under uncultured bacterium. RNAcentral's name for it is "bacterial SSU rRNA". It matches the Rfam family "Bacterial small subunit ribosomal RNA", at positions 153 to 507 of the family's 1533-position model. The record is from RNAcentral.
GAAAGGUGGUCUAAUACUUCAUAAUAUCCAUCUCGUAUGGAUUAAAGCUUUAUGCGCUUUGGGAGGGGCCUGCGUAACAUUAGCUUGUUGGUGAGGUAAAAGCUCACCAAGGCUUCGAUGUUUAACUGGUUCGAGAGGAUGACCAGUCACACUGGGACUGAGAUACGGCCCAGACUCCUACGGGAGGCAGCAGUAAGGAAUCUUCCACAAUGGGGGCAACCCUGAUGGAGCAAUACCGCGUGCAGGAUGAAGCGUUUCGGCGUGUAACCGCUUUUAUCACCGAAGAUUAUGACUGUAGGUGAAGAAUAAGGACCGGCUAACUACGUG